CCUACGGGAGGCAGCAGUGAGGAAUAUUGGUCAAUGGACGAGAGUCUGAACCAGCCAAGUAGCGUGAAGGAUGACUGCCCUAUGGGUUGUAAACUUCUUUUAUAAAGGAAUAAAACGAGGCACGUGUGCCCUUUUGCAUGUACUUUAUGAAUAAGGAUCGGCUAACUCCGUGCCAGCAGCCGCGGUAAUACGGAGGAUCCGAGCGUUAUCCGGAUUUAUUGGGUUUAAAGGGAGCGUAGAUGGGUUGUUAAGUCAGUUGUGAAAGUUUGCGGCUCAACCGUAAAAUUGCAAUUGAUACUGGCAGUCUUGAGUACAGUUGAGGUAGGCGGAAUUCGUGGUGUAGCGGUGAAAUGCUUAGAUAUCACGAAGAACCCCGAUUGCGAAGGCAGCUUACUAAACUGUGACUGACAUUGAGGCUCGAAAGUGUGGGUAUCAAACAGGAUUAGAUACCCGGGUAGUC
Molecule: ribosomal RNA, 460 nt
Filed under: uncultured bacterium
Lineage: Bacteria
Description: partial 16S ribosomal RNA
Rfam family: Bacterial small subunit ribosomal RNA
Source: RNAcentral